RNAcentral lists this ribosomal RNA (468 nucleotides) under uncultured bacterium. RNAcentral's name for it is "partial 16S ribosomal RNA". It matches the Rfam family "Bacterial small subunit ribosomal RNA", at positions 28 to 507 of the family's 1533-position model. The record is from RNAcentral.
GACGAACGCUGGCGGCGUGCUUAACACAUGCAAGUCGAACGGAAAGGCCCUGCUUUUGUGGGGUGCUCGAGUGGCGAACGGGUGAGUAACACGUGAGUAACCUGCCCUUGACUUUGGGAUAACUUCAGGAAACUGGGGCUAAUACCGGAUAGGAGCUCCUGCUGCAUGGUGGGGGUUGGAAAGUUUCGGCGGUUGGGGAUGGACUCGCGGCUUAUCAGCUUGUUUGUGGGGUAGUGGCUUACCAAGGUUUUGACGGGUAGCCGGCCUGAGAGGGUGACCGGCCACCAUGGGACUGAGAGACGGCCCAGAAGCCUACGGGAGGCAGAAGUGGGGAAUAUUGCACAAUGGGCGGAAGCGUGAGGCAGCAACGCCGCGUGCGGGAUGACGGCCUUCGGGUUGUAAACCGCUUUCGCCUGUGACGAAGCGUGAGUGACGGUAAUGGGUAAAGAAGCACCGGCUAACUACGUG